AGGGGUUUGAUCAUGGCUCAGAGCGAACGUUAGCGGCGGGCUUAACACAUGCAAGUCGAACGCGAACGCCUCUUCGGAGGUUAUUAGAGUGGCGCACGGGUGAGUAACGCGUAGGCAACCUGCCCUCAGGAGGGGGACAACUGCCCGAAAGGGCAGCUAAUACCGCAUAAGACCACGGCACCCACGGGUGCAGUGGUAAAAGGUGGCUUCGGCUAUCACCUGAGGAUGGGCCUGCGAACCAUCAGCUUGUUGGUGGGGUAACGGCCUACCAAGGCAAAGACGGUUAGCUGGUCUGAGAGGAUGACCAGCCACACUGGCACUGAAACACGGGCCAGACUCCUACGGGAGGCAGCAGUGGGGAAUCUUGGACAAUGGGCGCAAGCCUGAUCCAGCCACGCCGCGUGAGUGAUGAAGGCCUUCGGGUUGUAAAGCUCUGUGGGGAGGGACGAAAAAGGUGGUCAAGAUAACGGGCCGCCCUUGACGGUACCUCCUUAGCAAGCACCGGCUAACUCUGUGCCAGCAGCCGCGGUAAGACAGAGGGUGCGAACGUUGCUCGGAAUCACUGGGCGUAAAGCGCGUGUAGGCUGACCUGUAAGUCAGGUGUGAAAUCCCUGGGCUCAACCUAGGAACUGCAUCUGAAACUACAGGUCUUGAGUGUCGGAGAGGGAAGCGGAAUUCCUGGUGUUAGAGGUGAAAUUCGUAGAUAUCAGGAGGAACACCGGUGGCGAAGGCGGCUUCCUGAACGACUACUGACGCUGAGACGCGAAAGCGUGGGGAGCAACAGGAUUAGAUACCCUGGU
RNAcentral lists this ribosomal RNA (800 nucleotides) under uncultured bacterium. RNAcentral describes it as "bacterial SSU rRNA". It matches the Rfam family "Bacterial small subunit ribosomal RNA", at positions 1 to 791 of the family's 1533-position model. The record is from RNAcentral.